Chenopodium quinoa (quinoa) is the source of this 1474-nucleotide long non-coding RNA. RefSeq lists it as uncharacterized. NCBI's taxonomy places the organism in Eukaryota, Viridiplantae, Streptophyta, Magnoliopsida, Caryophyllales, Amaranthaceae. The record is from RefSeq and is a predicted model, not a curated record. The transcript is spliced from 10 exons.
AACACCCUAGCCGUCUAACUUCACUUUUCUUAUUUUCGUUCAUAUUGAACAACCAUCCUCCCCUCUUCUCUCUCUCCUCAAUUGACUAUUUCUCUCUCUUCUCAUACGACUCCAACUUUCUCUCAAUUCUCAUUCUUGCAAUGGAAACUGACCUGUUUUUGGUCGAAACAUGCUAUAAUAUCUUCUAGGAAGGGAAUGUUUCCGCUUAAACUUCCAAGUUAAAUCGAUUUUCAAGUUGAAUAGAGAUGAAGCAAUCAAAGAGGAUGAAAAGAACAGCGUAGCCUUCAAAGCAUCAACGUAGCAGUAUUUCUAGAAAUACGAAAAGAAUUAGUGUUGAGGGAAUUUCUCGUGUUUUUUUGUUCAAAAUUUGUGCCGUUAUUUCUAAGAACAACUGAAGAAGGUUCGGAGGUAGAAGCAGAAGUGCGUGCUGAUGGUGGUGUGCUGUUGGGUUGCAGGUUUUUUAUUGGUUUAUUUUAUGCUUGAUUUUUUCCUUUUAUCUCCAGCAUUCUUGUUCUUAUUGGAUCAGUAAUUUGACCUCUUCAAUGAUGUUCAAGCUAUAAGCACAUUAGGUGUUCAAAACAAAAUUGACUUCCUUUCACUGUCAUAUACUCGUUACGCAGAAGAUGUUCUCCAAGCACGUGAGCUACGUCAGGUUUAGGUGAUCUUAGUCAGACUCAUAUAUUUGCAAAGAUUUAAAUUGUUGAGGGUUUGACUCAUUUUGAUGAAAUUCUACAAGAAGCAGAUGGUAUCAUUCUUUCCCGGGAAAUUUGGGCAUAGAUCUCCCUCCUGAGAAGGUUUUCUUGUUCUAAAAGGUUGCUUUUACACAAAUGCAAUAUGGUUGGGAAGCCUGAUGUUGCUACUAGUGUUGUUGGUAGCAUGACCAAUAAUCUAAGGCCUACACGUGCUGAGGCAACUGAUGUUGCGAAUGCUGUAAUAAAUGGUAUACCAUGCAUAGACCACGAUAUGGUGACCAUCUUGACGCAAUCAAAGUUAACCUGUAAGGAUUUCUGGCUUCUUCAAGAAACAGAUAGACAAUCUGAAGAAAAAUCAUUGAUCCAACAAGAGAACAACUUACAUCUUGCAAGGAGGUAUCAUCGUAUCUUCAAUCUUAUUUAGGGAUAAAUAAUGCUAAACUUGUGAGGGACAUUAGGGUUAAAUCUCAACAACUUUAAACUGUAGAUUCCGUCAAUCAUAUGUGCAUGAUCUUUGAGGAUGGCAACUCCAUGAUGGACCUUUCAAAUUCACCUCUACAUAGUGCAUGUUUACCUAUUGAACAUGAGACGGAUGCUUUACCUUUGGGCAUUGAGAAUCUACCAGAUGUUCGGAGUAUUGUUUAUAUAGUAGCUUUUGACGAGAGCAAGGGAGUUGUAAAUUCAAUUUGACAAUUGUGAAAGUUGUAUCUUUGAUUAUAUAAUUAAUUAAAUUUUACAUUUAUUAUUAUUAAAUAUUGAUAAUAGUAAAUAAAAUUUUGCAU